RNAcentral lists this ribosomal RNA (499 nucleotides) under uncultured Glomeromycotina. RNAcentral's name for it is "partial small subunit ribosomal RNA". It matches the Rfam family "Eukaryotic small subunit ribosomal RNA", at positions 591 to 1092 of the family's 1831-position model. Lineage: Eukaryota; Fungi; Glomeromycota. The record is from RNAcentral.
CCAAUAGCGUAUAUUAAAGUUGUUGCAGUUAAAAAGCUCGUAGUUGAAUUUCGGGAUCAAUAUGUCGGUCGUGCCUCGGUACGUACUGGUGUCAUUGGUUUCUCCCUUCUGAAGAACCUUGAUGUCAUUAAUUUGGUGUCUUGGGGAAUCAGGACUGUUACUUUGAAAAAAUUAGAGUGUUUAAAGCAGGCUCGCGCUUGAAUACAUUAGCAUGGAAUAAUGAAAUAGGACGUUUGAUUCUAUUUUGUUGGUUUCUAGGAUCGACGUAAUGAUUAAUAGGGAUAGUUGGGGGCAUUAGUAUUCAAUUGUCAGAGGUGAAAUUCUUGGAUUUAUUGAAGACUAACUACUGCGAAAGCAUUUGCCAAGGAUGUUUUCAUUAAUCAAGAACGAAAGUUAGGGGAUCGAAGACGAUCAGAUACCGUCGUAGUCUUAACCAUAAACUAUGCCGACUAGGGAUCGGAUGAUGUUGAUUUUUUAAUGACUCAUUCGGCGCCUUACG